UCUUAGAUGACUGAGAAAUAAGUAUUAGAUUUUUAAUCUAAAGACGGCUGAUAUAUGCCUCUAAGAA
RNAcentral lists this transfer RNA (67 nucleotides) under Neptunea subdilatata. RNAcentral describes it as "tRNA-Lys". It matches the Rfam family "tRNA". Rfam says of the family: Transfer RNA (tRNA) molecules are approximately 80 nucleotides in length. Lineage: Eukaryota; Metazoa; Mollusca; Gastropoda; Neogastropoda; Buccinidae. The record is from RNAcentral.